RNAcentral lists this small nucleolar RNA (393 nucleotides) under Lepisosteus oculatus (spotted gar). RNAcentral's name for it is "Small Cajal body-specific RNA 2". It matches the Rfam family "Small Cajal body-specific RNA 2". Lineage: Eukaryota; Metazoa; Chordata; Actinopteri; Semionotiformes; Lepisosteidae. The record is from Rfam by way of RNAcentral.
UCAUUGGGUUGGAAGAGAGAGGGUGAGUGUGUUGUGGAUCUGGUUGCGCGGGUGAGUCGGCGAGUGGGUGAGCGUUUCAAAGUGUGUGUGAAUGUUUGAUGGUUGUGAGUGCGACUGUUUGAAUUGGGGAAAAAAUAUAAAAACUACACCGUGAUCUUAUUUGAUCGAGUCGGGGUUCUGGUCCUGCUCCGACUUGAGAUGAUAAUACCCGACAUGCGAGCCGGUUCCUCCGGCGAUGUGCAUGAGGCAUGAUCGUUGCUUGCAGGGCCUUCACCACUACUUGUGGUUCAGAAAUGAUGAAUUGAUCAGAUAUACUAGAGCUGGGGAUGUCUCGGGGGGUUUACCCCUCGGGCUUUUCCUCGGCCUGUGAGUAUAGAGGCGAUUCUGAUCUGA